GUGGUUGUAGCUCAGUUGGUAGAGCGUCCGGUUGUGGUCCGGAAGGUCGCGGGUUCAAGCCCCGUCAGUCACCCCA
This 76-nucleotide transfer RNA is filed under the name Cryobacterium sp. HLT2-28. RNAcentral's name for it is "tRNA-His". It matches the Rfam family "tRNA". From Rfam's summary of the family: Transfer RNA (tRNA) molecules are approximately 80 nucleotides in length. Their secondary structure includes four short double-helical elements and three loops (D, anti-codon, and T loops). Further hydrogen bonds mediate the characteristic L-shaped molecular structure. tRNAs have two regions of fundamental functional importance: the anti-codon, which is responsible for specific mRNA codon recognition, and the 3' end, to which the tRNAs corresponding amino acid is attached (by aminoacyl-tRNA synthetases). tRNAs cope with the degeneracy of the genetic code in two manners: having more than one tRNA (with a specific anti-codon) for a particular amino acid; and 'wobble' base-pairing, i.e. permitting non-standard base-pairing at the 3rd anti-codon position. Lineage: Bacteria; Bacillati; Actinomycetota; Actinomycetes; Micrococcales; Microbacteriaceae. The record is from RNAcentral. RNAcentral also lists the same sequence under 24 other names.